GCGUACUUAGCUCAGUGGUUAGAGCGUCUGCCUAGUAUUUGGAGGUCGCAGGUUCAAAUCCUGCAGUGUGCA
Molecule: transfer RNA, 72 nt
Filed under: Cronartium ribicola 11-2
Lineage: Eukaryota; Fungi; Basidiomycota; Pucciniomycetes; Pucciniales; Coleosporiaceae
Description: tRNA-Thr (AGT) (tRNA-Thr-AGT-6-1)
Rfam family: tRNA
About the family: Transfer RNA (tRNA) molecules are approximately 80 nucleotides in length. Their secondary structure includes four short double-helical elements and three loops (D, anti-codon, and T loops).
Source: RNAcentral